UGGACACAAUAUAACUUUGAUUCAAAGAACAAUCAAACAAACGAUUCUGAACAUACCAGCACCAAUCAAGUCCAUUCUACUCCGCAGUCUGCAUGUUCUUUUAUUUUUCCAGUUAUUUGUAUAUUAUAUGAACAAAAUUGUUUUCAAAUAACAUGCGACGGGAAAGAAUAGGAGCAGUGAGUAGUACAAGUUUUGUCAUGAUGGCAUUACCAGAAAUUAACGACAAAAUGUAUAUAUAUUAAUUUGCAUACAAUUCAUGUGCAAUGGCUU
Non-coding RNA from Paramuricea clavata, 270 nucleotides. Lineage: Eukaryota; Metazoa; Cnidaria; Anthozoa; Malacalcyonacea; Plexauridae. The record is from the annotation of a GenBank genome assembly.